RNAcentral lists this ribosomal RNA (485 nucleotides) under marine sediment bacterium ISA-7298. RNAcentral describes it as "bacterial SSU rRNA". It matches the Rfam family "Bacterial small subunit ribosomal RNA", at positions 39 to 570 of the family's 1533-position model. The record is from RNAcentral.
GCGGCAGGCUUAACACAUGCAAGUCGAGCGAAGACUUCGGUCUUAGCGGCGGACGGGUGAGUAACGCGUGGGAACGUGCCCUUCUCUACGGAAUAGUCCCGGGAAACUGGGUUUAAUACCGUAUACGCCCUUCGGGGGAAAGAUUUAUCGGAGAAGGAUCGGCCCGCGUCUGAUUAGAUAGUUGGUGGGGUAAUGGCCUACCAAGUCGACGAUCAGUAGCUGGUUUUAGAGGAUGAUCACCCACACUGGGACUGAGACACGGCCCACACUCCUACGGGAGGCAGCAGUGGGGAAUCUUAGACAAUGGGCGCAAGCCUGAUCUAGCCAUGCCGCGUGAGUGAUGAAGGCCUUAGGGUCGUAAAGCUCUUUCGCUGGGGAAGAUAAUGACGGUACCCAGUAAAGAAACCCCGGCUAACUCCGUGCCAGCAGCCGCGGUAAUACGGAGGGGGUUAGCGUUGUUCGGAAUUACUGGGCGUAAAGCGCGC